UAUAACUGUUCUGAGACCAGUGCAGACAGACAGCACACUGGAGGUUAAGUCAUGCACUAAAUAGGGAGCAAGGGAGCAUCCUAUAACUCUCCUAUAACUGUUCUGAGACCAGUGCAGACAGACAGCACACUGGAGGUUAAGUCAUGCACUAAAUAGGGAGCAAGGGAGCAUCCUAUAGCUCUCCUAUAACUGUUCUGAGACCAGUGCAGACAGACAGCACACUGGAGGUUAAGUCAUGCACUAAAUAGGGAGCAAGGGAGCAUCCUAUAACUCUCCUAUAACUGUUCUGAGACCAGUGCAGACAGACAGCACACUGGAGGUUAAGUCAUGCACUAAAUAGGGAGCAAGGGAGCAUCCUAUAGCUCUCCUAUAACUGUUCUGAGACCAGUGCAGACAGACAGCACACUGGAGGUUAAGUCAUGCACUAAAUAGGGAGCAAGGGAGCAUCCUAUAGCUCUCCUAUAACUGUUCUGAGACCAGUGCAGACAGACAGCACACUGGAGGUUAAGACAUGCACUAAAUAGGGAGCAAGGGAGCAUCCUUUUGCUCAUUACUAUUAAUCAGAAUUAAUUAUGAUAAUUUCUGAUUGGUGAAAUGCUUCAGCACUGACCAUCACUUGAGAGAGAACAUCGAGAUUUUAUUGCCAAAGUAGA
Molecule: long non-coding RNA, 653 nt
Organism: Xyrauchen texanus (razorback sucker)
Lineage: Eukaryota; Metazoa; Chordata; Actinopteri; Cypriniformes; Catostomidae
Exons: 4
Source: RefSeq, a predicted model, not a curated record